RNAcentral lists this ribosomal RNA (635 nucleotides) under Nebria kaszabi. Its description in RNAcentral is "partial large subunit ribosomal RNA". The stretch from base 390 to 549 matches the Rfam family "Bacterial large subunit ribosomal RNA", at positions 2473 to 2632 of the family's 2925-position model. The record is from RNAcentral. Lineage: Eukaryota; Metazoa; Arthropoda; Insecta; Coleoptera; Carabidae.
GUCCUUUAGAAUUUAAUUUAAGGUCUAGCCUGCCCACUGAAAUUAAUUUUAAAUGGCCGCAGUAAUUUGACUGUGCAAAGGUAGCAUAAUCAUUAGUUUUUUAAUUGAAAGCUUGUAUGAAAGGUUGGACGAGGUAAAAUCUGUCUCUAAUUAAUUUAAUUUAGAAUUUAACUUUUAAGUCAAAAGGCUUAAAUAUAAUUAAAAGACGAGAAGACCCUAUAGAUCUUUAUAAUUUAUUUAUUAAAUUUAAUUAAGAAUUUUUUAAAUUUUAUUAAUUUAAUUAUUUUAUUGGGGUAAUAUAAAGAUUAAAUUAAUUCUUUUUUUUUAUUAACAUUAAUUUAUGAUUUUAUGAUCCAAUUUUAUUGGUUAUAAGAUUAAGUUACCUUAGGGAUAACAGCGUUAUUUUUUUAGAGAGUUCUUAUCGAUAAAAAAGUUUACGACCUCGAUGUUGGAUUAAAGAUUAUUUCAGGUGUAGAAGUUUGAAAAUUUUGGUCUGUUCGACCAUUAAAUCUUUACAUGAUCUGAGUUCAGACCGGUGUAAGCCAGGUCGGUUUCUAUCUUUAGUAAAUUAAAAUAUUUUAGUACGAAAGGACCAAUUAUUUAAUAUAAAAUAUUUAAAUUUUGAUUAUUAUUAA